This is a long non-coding RNA of Drosophila persimilis, 265 nucleotides long. RefSeq lists it as uncharacterized. The transcript has 2 exons. NCBI's taxonomy places the organism in Eukaryota, Metazoa, Arthropoda, Insecta, Diptera, Drosophilidae. The record is from RefSeq and is a predicted model, not a curated record.
AAUCUUGCGCUAACAGCAGUCCAUCAAAGAUGACUUCGGUGAGGAAACAUAUACUGUUGGCGAUAUGCCUCUGGCUGGUUGCAGGAAGGUACCUUAACUUUGGCAGCACAAUGGUGAAGGCUCAGGAUGACCCCAGAUUUUGGUUUCCACCAAGGGGUCCCUACAAGGACGUGGCUAGGCUCUAGUCGUGAAAAAGGACAGCGCUUCGGUUCCCACCAUGAAGAACAGAUUCAUGAAUUUGAAUAAAGACAAGAUUUACUUGGAA